This 83-nucleotide transfer RNA is filed under the name Nitrospirota bacterium. RNAcentral describes it as "Nitrospirae bacterium (marine sediment metagenome) tRNA-Leu". It matches the Rfam family "tRNA". From Rfam's summary of the family: Transfer RNA (tRNA) molecules are approximately 80 nucleotides in length. Their secondary structure includes four short double-helical elements and three loops (D, anti-codon, and T loops). Lineage: Bacteria; Pseudomonadati; Nitrospirota. The record is from RNAcentral. RNAcentral also lists the same sequence under 2 other names.
GCGAAAGUGGCGGAACUGGUAUACGCGCUGGAUUUAGGAUCCAGUGGGAGACCAUGGGGGUUCGACUCCCCCCUUUCGCACCA